Long non-coding RNA from Daphnia carinata, 520 nucleotides. RefSeq lists it as uncharacterized. The transcript is spliced from 3 exons. NCBI's taxonomy places the organism in Eukaryota, Metazoa, Arthropoda, Branchiopoda, Diplostraca, Daphniidae. The record is from RefSeq and is a predicted model, not a curated record.
GUGAAAUUGGUCAAGUUGUCAAUUCCUAUAGUGCAAUUCUUAACGCGUUCUUGAUGUACUGACAAAAAUCAGGAUCAAAAUAUGGUGAUAGCAUAUUCAUACACAGGGUUUAACAUGGAAGAACUGUUCAAGUGGUGCUGUUGCAGUGGACAAACGGGUGGUGUUUAUAAAAUGGAUGUGAAAGUUACACAUAAUUCGCAAGUAUAUUUAAGUAAAGGGGUUUUAGAUUAGUUAGCUAUUCAGCCUCCACUUUUUUUAAUGUUUUUAUUUUUAAGAAUAUUAACCUAAUUCAUGUUGCAGACUUAACAGCCAUGGAGAUGACAAAGUAAACCUGUUGGAUUGAAGGUGGUUGGUGAAAAAAAAGAUUGCAGUUCUCCGGGCGUUGUACCGUGCUACGUGGUGACAACGAGCUCAUACCAGGUCUUGUAUUUGGACUCUGAACGUACGUCAAUUUUCUUUCAACGGCCGUCCUAGCAGGUCUGUUGUUGAAGCUCAACGUCGUGAAAUUCAUCUUUGUCGG